Molecule: long non-coding RNA, 537 nt
Filed under: Brassica napus (rape)
Lineage: Eukaryota; Viridiplantae; Streptophyta; Magnoliopsida; Brassicales; Brassicaceae
Description: long non-coding RNA (BNAP_LNC019974)
Source: RNAcentral
AAAAAAAAAAAAAGAUAAGAGGAAACUUCAAAGCAGAGCGUAUCUGUUUUUUUGGGUCAAAGUCUGACCGCAUCUAAGACUUUAACUUAAACACGAGCGUACCUUAAAACAUUACUUUUGUAAGAUUAAGUAGUCACUGAGGUAGAUAUGUAAGAAAACGUAAAAAAGGAAAACGAAUCUAAUAUAUUUGAACAAAAAAAAAAAGGAAAACAAAUCUAAUAUAAUGAUGGGCUAGGCUAAUUGGCGAAAUAGCUAAGUCUGGGAGAGAAAUUAAGUAUAUGAACAUGAUUUUGACAUAAUUAAAUGGAUAUCAAUUGUCUCUCACCUCAUUCGGUUCUACCCUCCACGCUUACAAGUCUUCGGUGAAAGAGAGAGAAAUAGAUGACGUUUCGCAAAUUAAAUAGAUGACGAUGUGAUAGAGAGAGAGAUGACGUUGCGGGAAGGAGGAAUUGAUGAUAUUCACCAUGCACUGUGCAGAUCUUAAGGACAGAGUAGAAGCCACGUCCUCAUGAAAAUAACCGCAUGCUAUUUACUGAG